Long non-coding RNA from Cydia fagiglandana, 802 nucleotides. RefSeq lists it as uncharacterized. Lineage: Eukaryota; Metazoa; Arthropoda; Insecta; Lepidoptera; Tortricidae. The record is from RefSeq and is a predicted model, not a curated record. The transcript has 2 exons.
CCCGUUCGGACUCUGGUAACCCCGUCGUUUGAUCUGUCACCGAUGGCUCGCCACGUAGCUAGCCGUUCUUUUUGGAUUUGGAAGAGAUCGUAGCAAGGUGGUUCGUUUCCUUUGCCCAGCGGCCUGGUGCUGUCUGAUGGCUUCUACCUAUAUCGCGGUUUAAGCCGCCUAAUCGUAAGUAGCUAGUCGAUUCCUUAAUUGUUUUGGAUGGAUUUGUUAGUGCAGUGCUGAUUGUUUUUAUAUUAUUGCAGCUCGUUGGAUGUGAAUCGUCCUGGAAAUUGAAGCCCCGGGUGCAUUGAAAUUAUGCAAGUCCUUUCCUACGCCCGCUUAUUGUCUGCCCCGGGGUUUCAAGAUUUACCGUCUUUAUUACAAGUUUACGGGGUGGCCUCAAGAUGCCAGCUUCUACAAGCCGAGCUACCAGUGGCAAGGAGCUGUGCCUGGCGUUUCCAUACUUCCACGCAGAGGUUCCUGACCAACGUGGCGGUUGUAUUGUUUACGGUCUUUCGAAGUUUUGGAGGUUAGAUCGACCCUUUAUCUAAUAUGUAUUACUGAACCAGAGAUGCUGGUUCUGGCGCCCUCAUACCCUUAGUAACUUUUAAGUUUGUCCGUCAGUAGGCCGCUUCUACCAAAACAUUUUAAAAAAGAGUUCGCUAUACCCAUAACUGUUCCCUCAACACUUAAAUAAGAGUCUGAUGCUCAUGUUAUUUAGAUAAGAGCUAGUUUACCUUAAGUUCCUGUCAUUAAGGCCCUUAAGGCUCUCCGGGUUAGUUUUGAAAUUAUUUAAAUAAAUGUUUUAUUCAUA